RNAcentral lists this long non-coding RNA (718 nucleotides) under Gossypium barbadense (sea-island cotton). RNAcentral describes it as "long non-coding RNA (GBAR_LNC016415)". Lineage: Eukaryota; Viridiplantae; Streptophyta; Magnoliopsida; Malvales; Malvaceae. The record is from RNAcentral.
CACGUCUUCGUCGUCUACAAGUUCCACUUCAACGAAUUUGACCGGAUUUGUCGAAACUGGAAACUUGUAGAAAAUUUUUGAUAUUCUUUUCCCACAACGUCUAAGAAUUUUUGCAUUAAUCAUUGCCUUCAUUUCAUUGAACGAGACAUUUCUAUUAAAUCUCAUUGCUAUUUGUUGCCGACAUUCAAAUACACAUCCAACACUUGUUGUCAAGAUCACUCCAACGAAAUAAACGUGUACAAAAAACUUAGCAUCCAUCUUCAAUAUUUAAUCUGUCAAAAAAUAAACAAAAUCUCAAAUAAAAUCUCGAACAGUAAAUAAAUUACUUAAAUAAAAAAAUUAAUGUUUCAAUAUGCAAUUUUGUACAUGAAAACCAUAAUAAUAUUAAUAAUAUUAAUAUUAAUAAUUUUAUACUCAAAAUUAUACUAACUAAAAAUAAUAACUAACCAUAAUAAUAAUACUAGUUUUUUACUAACUAGUUUAUUUUGGUAAAUAAAAAUAAUAACUAACCAUAAUAAUAAUACUAAGUAACAUCUAAACCCUAAAAAUUAAUAAUAAUAAUACUAACUAAAACUAUCAAUUUGAGUUUUAUUAAUUUUAAUAACUAAACUAAAACAAAAAAUAAUAAAAAUUAUACAAAAAAAUAACAACAAGAUAAUCAAUUAUUUUUUAAAAAAUACCUUUUUUUUCUCUUCUCUUCCUCUCUUUUUCUCUCUUU